This 549-nucleotide long non-coding RNA is filed under the name Cottoperca gobio. RNAcentral describes it as "lncRNA (ENSCGOG00000024626.1)". Lineage: Eukaryota; Metazoa; Chordata; Actinopteri; Perciformes; Bovichtidae. The record is from RNAcentral.
AGAAGAUGUAGAAAACAUACAGAGUCGUUUACUGCAGGUUUUUUAAUCAGCAGUUGAGUGUUUGCCUGAUUUUUUUUUCUUCCUCAGAGUUACCUGAUUCCAGACAAAGAGGACAACACGGACAAUGUGCCGGCCAAAAAGGCUCCUGGCAGCAAACCGGCCAGCAGAGAGCCGAGUCCAGACUCCGGCACCGAGGAAGAAAAGGAACAAGCCGCAGAAAAAAACAAACCCAAACAGGACAUCGGAGGUCUGAUCGCUGGAAUGUUCCGGAAAGCACCCAAAGAGAAAUCGUCGUCUCCUGCUGUGACGGUAAAAUCAACUCUUCUGCUCAAUUUUGGAUCAUAAGUUUUCACUUUCAGUCUCUCGUCGCCUCUUACUCAUAGUUUCCAUUUCAUCCCCAGGUCCACUUAGCAGACAGUGAUUCUGAAGAUGCAGAAGAAGCAGAAGAUAAGGUAGGUCUUUGUUUUAGUGGAUGUACAGCGUUUACUUCAGCGUAACGGCAGCGCCACAUAGAAAACAUUUUUAUUUUGCUACGCUAGUGAAGCGCAA